GACGAACGCUGGCGGCGUGCUUAACACAUGCAAGUCGAACGGAAAGGCCCUGCUUUUGUGGGGUGCUCGAGUGGCGAACGGGUGAGUAACACGUGAGUAACCUGCCCUUGACUUUGGGAUAACUUCAGGAAACUGGGGCUAAUACCGGAUAGGAGCUCCUGCUGCAUGGUGGGGGUUGGAAAGUUUCGGCGGUUGGGGAUGGACUCGCGGCUUAUCAGCUUGUUGGUGGGGUAGUGGCUUACCAAGGCUUUGACGGGUAGCCGGCCUGAGAGGGUGACCGGCCACAUUGGGACUGAGAUACGGCCCAGCCUCCUACGGGAGGAAGCAGUGGGGAAUAUUGCACAAUGGGCGGAAGGCUGAUGCAGCAACGCCGCGUGCGGGAUGAAGGCCUUCGGGUUGUAAACCGCUUUCGCCUGUGACGAAGCGUGAGUGACGGUAAUGGGUAAAGAAGCACCGGCUAACUACGUG
This 468-nucleotide ribosomal RNA is filed under the name uncultured bacterium. RNAcentral describes it as "partial 16S ribosomal RNA". It matches the Rfam family "Bacterial small subunit ribosomal RNA", at positions 28 to 507 of the family's 1533-position model. The record is from RNAcentral.